UUUGCCUACGGGACGCAGCAGUGGGGAAGAUUGGACAAUGGGGGGAACCCUGAUCCUGCGACGCCGCGUGAGUGAAGAAGUAUUUCGGUAUGUAAAGCUCUAUCAGCAGGGAAGAAGGAAAUGACGGUACCUGACUAAGAAGCCCCGGCUAACUACGUGCCAGCAGCCGCGGUAAUACGUAGGGAGCAAGCGUUAUCCGGAUUUACUGGGUGUAAAGGGCGUGUAGGCGGGCAUGCAAUCCAG
This 243-nucleotide ribosomal RNA is filed under the name uncultured bacterium. RNAcentral describes it as "partial 16S ribosomal RNA". It matches the Rfam family "Bacterial small subunit ribosomal RNA", at positions 334 to 591 of the family's 1533-position model. The record is from RNAcentral.